This 499-nucleotide ribosomal RNA is filed under the name uncultured bacterium. RNAcentral's name for it is "partial 16S ribosomal RNA". It matches the Rfam family "Bacterial small subunit ribosomal RNA", at positions 28 to 507 of the family's 1533-position model. The record is from RNAcentral.
GACGAACGCUGGCGGCGUGCCUAAUACAUGCAAGUCGAGCGGACCGAACAGGAGCUUGCUCUUGUUCGGUUAUCGGCGGACGGGUGAGUAACACGUGGGUAACCUGCCCGCAAGACAGGGGUAACUCCGGGAAACCGGAGCUACUACCGGAUAAUACCGAAGACCGCAUGGUCUUUGGUUGAAAGGCGGCUUCGGCUGCCACUUACGGAUGGGCCCGCGGCGAAUUAGCUAUUUGGUGAGGUAACGGCUCACCAAGGCGACGAUGCGUAGCCGGCCAGAUAGGCUGACCGCCCUCACUGGUAUGGGAACACGGCCCGGACUCCUGGGGCAGACAGCCGUAGGAGAUCUUCCGCGAUGGACGCAGGUGUGACUGAUCGACGCCGCGUGAGCGCAGAAGCUCUUCGGAUCGUGAAAGUGUGGAAUUAGGGAAGGAGGAACGUCGUUCGUACAGGGCGGCGCGAUGACGGUACCUAACGAGAAAGCCCCGGCUAACUACGUG